GACGAACGCUGGCGGCGUGCUUAACACAUGCAAGUCGAACGAAGAGCGAUGGAAGCUUGCUUCUAUCACUCUUAGUGGCGAACGGGUGAGUAACGCGUAAUCAACCUGCCCUUCAGAGGGGGACAACCGUUGGAAACGACUGCUAAUACCGCAUACGAUCUAAUCUCGGCAUCGAGGAUAGAUGAAAGGUGGCCCCUACAUGUAAGCUAUCACUGAAGGAGGGGAUUGCGUCUGAUUAGCUAGUUGGAGGGGUAACGGCCCACCAAGGCGAUGAUCAGUAGCCGGUCUGAGAGGAUGAACGGCCACAUUGGGACUGAGACACGGCCCAGACUCCUACGGGAGGCAGCAGUGGGGAAUCUUCCGCAAUGGACGAAAGUCUGACGGAGCAACGCCGCGUGAGUGAUGACGGCCUUCGGGUUGUAAAGCUCUGUUAAUCGGGACGAAAGGCCUUCUUGCGAAUAGUGAGAAGGAUUGACGGUACCGGAAGAGAAAGCCACGGCUAACUACGUG
This 510-nucleotide ribosomal RNA is filed under the name uncultured bacterium. RNAcentral's name for it is "partial 16S ribosomal RNA". It matches the Rfam family "Bacterial small subunit ribosomal RNA", at positions 28 to 507 of the family's 1533-position model. The record is from RNAcentral.